This 492-nucleotide ribosomal RNA is filed under the name uncultured bacterium. RNAcentral describes it as "bacterial SSU rRNA". It matches the Rfam family "Bacterial small subunit ribosomal RNA", at positions 54 to 509 of the family's 1533-position model. The record is from RNAcentral.
CAUGCAAGUCGAGCGGUAACAGGGAGUCGUCACCGUUCCUUGUACACACCUAGCGCGAUUAUCGUAGGUUGUUUGACUUCGAGGGGAACAGUGAGAUUCUGCUGACGAGCGGCGGACGGGCUGAGUAAACGCGUGGGAAGGGACCCCCAAAAGUGAGGGGAUAACGCAUCGAAAGGUGUGCUAAUACCGCAUAUGAUCUUCGGAUUAAAGCUUUUGCGCUUUGGGACUGGCCUGCGUACGAUUAGAUAGUUGGUAGGGUAAUGGCCUACCAAGUCGACGAUCGUUAGAUGGUUUGAGAAGAUGAUCAUCCAGACUGGGACUGAGACACGGCCCAGACUCCUACGGGAGGCAGCAGUAGGGAAUCUUUCACAAUGGGCGAAAGCCUGAUGGAGCAACGCCGCGUGCAGGAUGACGGCCUUCGGGUUGUAAACUGCUUUUAUAUCCGAGAAAUAUGAUGGUAAGAUAUGAAUAAGGACCGGCUAACUACGUGCC